CUUUGGCGGCGAGCGGCGGACGGCUGAGUAACGCGUGGGAACAUACCCAAAGUGAGGGAUAACUGCCCGAAAGGGUAGCUAAUACCGCAUAUGGUCUUCGGAUUAAAGGAUUUAUCCGCUUUGGGAGUGGCCCGCGUCGGAUUAGGUAGUUGGUGAGGUAAUGGCUCACCAAGCCGACGAUCCGUAGCUGGUCUGAGAGGAUGAUCAGCCAGACUGGGACUGAGACACGGCCCAG
RNAcentral lists this ribosomal RNA (235 nucleotides) under uncultured bacterium. RNAcentral describes it as "partial 16S ribosomal RNA". It matches the Rfam family "Bacterial small subunit ribosomal RNA", at positions 83 to 334 of the family's 1533-position model. The record is from RNAcentral.